Molecule: transfer RNA, 96 nt
Filed under: Methanocaldococcus sp. FS406-22
Lineage: Archaea; Methanobacteriati; Methanobacteriota; Methanococci; Methanococcales; Methanocaldococcaceae
Description: tRNA-Met
Rfam family: tRNA
About the family: Transfer RNA (tRNA) molecules are approximately 80 nucleotides in length.
Source: RNAcentral
GCCGAGGUGGCUUAGCUGGUUAUAGCGCCCGGCUCAUACACGGCUGGGUCCUGGGAAACCGGGAGGUCGAGGGUUCGAAUCCCUCCCUCGGCACCA